UCCCAGACUCCUACGGGAGGCAGCAGUGGGGAAUAUUGCACAAUGGGGGAAACCCUGAUGCAGCGACGCCGCGUGGGCGACGAAGCGCUCCGGCGCGUAAAGCCCUGUCAGCAGGGAAGAACAAAGACAGUACCUGACCAAGAAGCCCCGGCUAACUACGUGCCAGCAGCCGCGGUAAUACGUAGGGGGCAAGCGUUAUCCGGAUUUACUGGGUGUAAAGGGAGCGUAGACGGCGGUGCAAGCCAGAUGUGAAAGCCCGGGGCUCAACCCCGGGACUGCAUUUGGAACUGGCAAACUGGAGUGUGUGAGAGGAUAGUGGAACUCCAGGUGUAGGAGUGAAAUCCGUAGAUAUCUGGAGGAACAUCAGUGGCGAAGGCGACUAUCUGGCACAUAACUGACGCUGAGGAGCGAAAGCGUGGGUAGCAAACAGGAUUAGAUACCCGAGUACUA
This 450-nucleotide ribosomal RNA is filed under the name uncultured bacterium. Its description in RNAcentral is "partial 16S ribosomal RNA". It matches the Rfam family "Bacterial small subunit ribosomal RNA", at positions 329 to 797 of the family's 1533-position model. The record is from RNAcentral.